RNAcentral lists this ribosomal RNA (327 nucleotides) under uncultured eukaryote. Its description in RNAcentral is "partial 18S ribosomal RNA". It matches the Rfam family "Eukaryotic small subunit ribosomal RNA", at positions 1470 to 1796 of the family's 1831-position model. The record is from RNAcentral.
CCCUUAGAUGUUCUGGGCCGCACGCGCGCUACACUGACGAAUGCAACGAGCUUAUAACCUUGGCCGAAAGGUCUGGGUAAUCUCCAAAUUUCGUCGUGAUGGGUAUAGAUUAUUGCAAUUAUUAAUCUUCAACGAGGAAUGCCUAGUAAGCGCAAGUCAUCAGCUUGCGUUGAUUACGUCCCUGCCCUUUGUACACACCGCCCGUCGCUCCUACCGAUUGAAUGGUCCGGUGAAGCGUUCGGACCGUGGCCUUUGGACGGUUCGCCGUCUGUUGGCUGCGGGAAGUUCGUUAAACCUUAUCAUUUAGAGGAAGGAGAAGUCGUAACA